Molecule: ribosomal RNA, 253 nt
Filed under: uncultured bacterium
Lineage: Bacteria
Description: partial 16S ribosomal RNA
Rfam family: Bacterial small subunit ribosomal RNA
Source: RNAcentral
UACGAAGGGGGCUAGCGUUGUUCGGAAUUACUGGGCGUAAAGCGCGUGUAGGCGGGUCUUUAAGUCAGGGGUGAAAUGCCAAGGCUCAACCUUGGAACUGCCUUUGAUACUGGAGACCUUGAGUCCGGGAGAGGUGAGUGGAAUUGCGAGUGUAGAGGUGGAAUUCGUAGAUAUUCGCAAGAACACCAGUGGCGAAGGCGGCUCACUGGCCCGGAACUGACGCUGAGACGCGAAAGCGUGGGGAGCAAACAGG